CCUACGGGAGGCAGCAGUGAGGAAUAUUGGUCAAUGGACGAGAGUCUGAACCAGCCAAGUAGCGUGAAGGAUGACUGCCCUAUGGGUUGUAAACUUCUUUUAUAUGGGAAUAAAAUGUUCCACGUGUGGGAUUUUGUAUGUACCAUAUGAAAAAGGAUCGGCUAACUCCGUGCCAGCAGCCGCGGUAAUACGGAGGAUCCGAGCGUUAUCCGGAUUUAUUGGGUUUAAAGGGAGCGUAGGUGGAUUGUUAAGUCAGUUGUGAAAGUUUGCGGCUCAACCGUAAAAUUGCAGUUGAAACUGGCAGUCUUGAGUACAGUAGAGGUGGGCGGAAUUCGUGGUGUAGCGGUGAAAUGCUUAGAUAUCACGAAGAACUCCGAUUGCGAAGGCAGUUCACUGGACUGCAACUGACACUGAGGCUCGAAAGUGUGGGUAUCAAACAGGAUUAGAUACCCGUGUAGUC
RNAcentral lists this ribosomal RNA (460 nucleotides) under uncultured bacterium. RNAcentral's name for it is "partial 16S ribosomal RNA". It matches the Rfam family "Bacterial small subunit ribosomal RNA", at positions 338 to 795 of the family's 1533-position model. The record is from RNAcentral.